ACCCCCUGGCAAUGGGCAAAGAGACACCUUGGUGGUGGUGUUGAUCUUAUAUCAGUCAGGGGCAGAGCAGACGGCAGUCCUUUGUUCAUCCUAGCUUGAUGCCUGUCCUGGUGGCCAGAGCUGCUUCAUGCCUAGGGCACAUAA
Molecule: small nucleolar RNA, 144 nt
Organism: Psammomys obesus (fat sand rat)
Lineage: Eukaryota; Metazoa; Chordata; Mammalia; Rodentia; Muridae
Product: small nucleolar RNA SNORA48
Exons: 1
Source: RefSeq, a predicted model, not a curated record